UACGUAGGUGGCGAGCGUUGUCCGGAUUUACUGGGCGUAAAGAGCGCGCAGGCGGUCGAUCAAGUCGGAUGUGAAAGCCCCCGGCUCAACUGGGGAGGGUCAUUCGAUACUGAUCGACUCGAAGGCAGGAGAGGGAAGCGGAAUUCCCGGUGUAGUGGUGAAAUGCGUAGAUAUCGGGAGGAACACCAGUGGCGAAGGCGGCUUCCUGGCCUGUUCUUGACGCUGAGGCGCGAAAGCUAGGGGAGCAAACGGG
RNAcentral lists this ribosomal RNA (253 nucleotides) under uncultured bacterium. RNAcentral describes it as "partial 16S ribosomal RNA". It matches the Rfam family "Bacterial small subunit ribosomal RNA", at positions 524 to 776 of the family's 1533-position model. The record is from RNAcentral.